GACGAACGCUGGCGGCGUGCCUAAUACAUGCAAGUUGAGCGCUGAAGGUUGGUACUUGUACCAACUGGAUGAGCAGCUAACGGGUUAGUAACGCGUGGGGAAUCUGCCUUUGAGCGGGGGACAACAUUUGGAAACGAAUGCUAAUACCGCAUAAAAACUUUAAACACAAGUUUUAAGUUUGAAAGAUGCAAUUGCAUCACUCAAAGAUGAUCCCGCGUUGUAUUAGCUAGUUGGUGAGGUAAAGGCUCACCAAGGCGAUGAUACAUAGCCGACCUGAGAGGGUGAUCGGCCACAUUGGGACUGAGACACGGCCCAAACUCCUACAGGAGGAAGCAGUAGGGAAUCGUCGGCAAUGGAGGAAAGUCUGACCGAGCAACGCCGCGUGAGUGAAGAAGGUUAUCGGAUCGUAAAACUCGGUUGGUAGAGAAGAACGUUGGUGAGAGUGGAAAGCUCAUCAAGUGACGGUAACUACCCAGAAAGGGACGGCUAACUACGUG
RNAcentral lists this ribosomal RNA (497 nucleotides) under uncultured bacterium. RNAcentral's name for it is "partial 16S ribosomal RNA". It matches the Rfam family "Bacterial small subunit ribosomal RNA", at positions 28 to 507 of the family's 1533-position model. The record is from RNAcentral.